AUAAGCCCUCCGUGAAAUCUCCAGGCUUAACCUGGAAAGUGCAGAGGGGACUGUUCAGCUAGAGGAUGGGAGAGGAGCGCGGAAUUCCCGGUGUAGCGGUGAAAUGCGUAGAGAUCGGGAGGAAGGCCGGUGGCGAAGGCGGCGCUCUGGAACAUUUCUGACGCUGAGGCUCGAAAGCGUGGGGAGCAAACAGGAUUAGAUACCCUGGUAGUCCACGCCGUAAACGAUGAGUGCUAAGUGUUAGAGGGUUUCCGCCCUUUAGUGCUG
This 267-nucleotide ribosomal RNA is filed under the name uncultured bacterium. RNAcentral describes it as "partial 16S ribosomal RNA". It matches the Rfam family "Bacterial small subunit ribosomal RNA", at positions 583 to 848 of the family's 1533-position model. The record is from RNAcentral.